AGUGAACGCUGGCGGUAGGCCUAACACAUGCAAGUCGAACGGCAGCACAGUAAGAGCUUGCUCUUACGGGUGGCGAGUGGCGGACGGGUGAGGAAUACAUCGGAAUCUACUUUUUCGUGGGGGAUAACGUAGGGAAACUUACGCUAAUACCGCAUACGACCUACGGGUGAAAGCAGGGGAUCUUCGGACCUUGCGCGAUUGAAUGAGCCGAUGUCGGAUUAGCUAGUUGGCGGGGUAAAGGCCCACCAAGGCGACGAUCCGUAGCUGGUCUGAGAGGAUGAUCAGCCACACUGGAACUGAGACACGGUCCAGACUCCUACGGGAGGCAGCAGUGGGGAAUAUUGGACAAUGGGCGCAAGCCUGAUCCAGCCAUACCGCGUGGGUGAAGAAGGCCUUCGGGUUGUAAAGCCCUUUUGUUGGGAAAGAAAAGCAGCAGGUUAAUACCCCGCUGUUCUGACGGGACCCAAGGAAUAAGCACCGGCUAACUUCGU
RNAcentral lists this ribosomal RNA (491 nucleotides) under uncultured bacterium. RNAcentral describes it as "partial 16S ribosomal RNA". It matches the Rfam family "Bacterial small subunit ribosomal RNA", at positions 29 to 506 of the family's 1533-position model. The record is from RNAcentral.